This 233-nucleotide ribosomal RNA is filed under the name uncultured Allobrachymonas sp. Its description in RNAcentral is "uncultured Brachymonas sp. partial 16S ribosomal RNA". It matches the Rfam family "Bacterial small subunit ribosomal RNA", at positions 1152 to 1382 of the family's 1533-position model. Lineage: Bacteria; Pseudomonadati; Pseudomonadota; Betaproteobacteria; Burkholderiales; Comamonadaceae. The record is from RNAcentral.
CCGGUGACAAACCGGAGGAAGUGGGGAUGACGUCAAGUCCUCAUGGCCCUUAUAGGUGGGGCUACACACGUCAUACAAUGGCCGGUACAGAGGGUAGCCAACCCGCGAGGGGGAGCCAAUACCCACCAAAGCCGGUCGUAGUCCGGAUCGCAGUCUGCAACUCGACUGCGUGAAGUCGGAAUCGCUAGUAAUCGCGGAUCAGCAUGUCGCGGUGAAUACGUUCCCGGGUCCUU